UCCAUAUUUGACUGGGUAUUUGUAAUCUCUAUCUGAGAAGUCACAUCACCAUUUGAAGUGGCAGACUGGGGGUGAAAAACGGGAGUAAUCUGGUCCUUCUGAUUGAUCGUUCCAGAUAUCGACCCCUUCACAUCCCUCAAACCCCCAUGAACCUUGAAAAAAGAUCCAUAACCACCAGAACUCUGAACUACAUCAGUUGAGCUUGAUCGAGCACCGUCUCGAUUAGGUCUGGACCUGUUCCUUCUAGCAUAUGGGCGAACAAUAGCAGAAUCUUCUGAUUCCUUGGCAUUUUGAGUCCC
This 299-nucleotide unclassified non-coding RNA is filed under the name Hevea brasiliensis (rubber tree). Lineage: Eukaryota; Viridiplantae; Streptophyta; Magnoliopsida; Malpighiales; Euphorbiaceae. The record is from RNAcentral.